GAUGAACGCUGGCGGCGUGCCUAAUACAUGCAAGUCGAGCGAACGGACGAGAAGCUUGCUUUUCUGAUGUUAGCGGCGGACGGGUGAGUAACACGUGGAUAACCUACCUAUAAGACUGGGAUAACUUCGGGAAACCGGAGCUAAUACCGGAUAAUAUUUUGAACCGCAUGGUUCAAAAGUGAAAGACGGUCUUGCUGUCACUUAUAGAUGGAUCCGCGCUGCAUUAGCUAGUUGGUAAGGUAACGGCUUACCAAGGCAACGAUGCAUAGCCGACCUGAGAGGGUGGUCGCCCAAGCGAGAGUGAGAACGCGCUCCAGCCCCCGCGGGGGGGCAGAAGUGGGGAUUGUCCGGAAAGGGCGAAAACCGUGAGGGAGCAGCGCGGGGGGAGUGAGGAGGGUCUUGGUAUAAAAAACCUUUUUUAUAAGGAAAAAAAAUAUGUGAAAGAAACUGUCCACAUCUUGCGGGACCCUAAUAAGAAGCCCACGGCAAACUCCGGC
RNAcentral lists this ribosomal RNA (497 nucleotides) under uncultured bacterium. Its description in RNAcentral is "partial 16S ribosomal RNA". It matches the Rfam family "Bacterial small subunit ribosomal RNA", at positions 28 to 508 of the family's 1533-position model. The record is from RNAcentral.